GCCCUACGGGUGGCUGCAGUGGGGAAUAUUGGACAAUGGGCGCAAGCCUGAUCCAGCCAUGCCGCGUGAGUGAUGAAGGUCUUAGGAUUGUAAAGCUCUUUCACCGAUGAAGAUAAUGACGGUAGUCGGAGAAGAAGCCCCGGCUAACUUCGUGCCAGCAGCCGCGGUAAUACGAAGGGGGCUAGCGUUGUUCGGAAUUACUGGGCGUAAAGCGCACGUAGGCGGAUAUUUAAGUCAGGGGUGAAAUCCCGCAGCUCAACUGCGGAACUGCCUUUGAUACUGGGUAUCUCGAGUAUGGAAGAGGUGAGUGGAAUUCCGAGUGUAGAGGUGAAAUUCGUAGAUAUUCGGAGGAACACCAGUGGCGAAGGCGGCUCACUGGUCCAUUACUGACGCUGAGGUGCGAAAGCGUGGGGAGCAAACAGGAUUAGAUACCCCGGUAGUCGCA
RNAcentral lists this ribosomal RNA (445 nucleotides) under uncultured Agrobacterium sp. RNAcentral describes it as "bacterial SSU rRNA". It matches the Rfam family "Bacterial small subunit ribosomal RNA", at positions 335 to 797 of the family's 1533-position model. The record is from RNAcentral. Lineage: Bacteria; Pseudomonadati; Pseudomonadota; Alphaproteobacteria; Hyphomicrobiales; Rhizobiaceae.